Molecule: ribosomal RNA, 1130 nt
Filed under: Trichomonas vaginalis
Lineage: Eukaryota; Parabasalia; Trichomonadida; Trichomonadidae
Description: SSU rRNA
Rfam family: Eukaryotic small subunit ribosomal RNA
Source: RNAcentral
CGAAACUGCGAAUAGCUCAUUAAUACGCUCAGAAUCUAUUUGGCGGCGACCAACAGGUCUUAAAUGGAUAGCAGCAGCAACUCUGGUGCUAAUACAUGCGAUUGUUUCUCCAGAUGUGAAUUAUGGAGGAAAAGUUGACCUCAUCAGAGGCACGCCAUUCGACUGAGUGACCUAUCAGCUUGUACUUAGGGUCUUUACCUAGGUAGGCUAUCACGGGUAACGGGCGGUUACCGUCGGACUGCCGGAGAAGGCGCCUGAGAGAUAGCGACUAUAUCCACGGGUAGCAGCAGGCGCGAAACUUUCCCACUCGAGACUUUCGGAGGAGGUAAUGACCAGUUCCAUUGGUGCCUUUCGGUACUGUGGAUAGGGGUACGGUUUUCCACCGUACCGAAACCUAGCAGAGGGCCAGUCUGGUGCCAGCAGCUGCGGUAAUUCCAGCUCUGCGAGUUUGCUCCCAUAUUGUUGCAGUUAAAACGCCCGUAGUCUGAAUUGGCCAGCAAUGGUCGUACGUAUUUUUACGUUCACUGUGAACAAAUCAGGACGCUUAGAGUAUGGCUACAUGAAUGACUCAGCGCAGUAUGAAGUCUUUGUUUUCUUCCGAAAACAAGCUCAAUGAGAGCCAUCGGGGGUAGAUCUAUCUCAUGACGAGUGGUGGAAUACUUUGACUCAUGAGAGAGAAGCUGAGGCGAAGGCGUCUACCUAGAGGGUUUCUGUCGAUCAAGGGCGAGAGUAGGAGUAUCCAACAGGAUUAGAGACCCUGGUAGUUCCUACCUUAAACGAUGCCGACAGGAGUUUGUCAUUUGUUAAUGGCAGAAUCUUUGGAGAAAUCAUAGUUCUUGGGCUCUGGGGGAACUACGACCGCAAGGCUGAAACUUGAAGGAAUUGACGGAAGGGCACACCAGGGGUGGAGCCUGUGGCUUAAUUUGAAUCAACACGGGGAAACUUACCAGGACCAGAUGUUUUUUAUGACUGACAGGCUUCGGGUCUUUCAGGAUAUUGUUUUUGGUGGUGCAUGGCCGUUGGUGGUGCGUGGGUUGACCUGUCUAGCGUUGAUUCAGCUAACGAGCGAGAUUAUCGCCAAUUAUUUACUUUGCCGAAGUCUUUCGGUUAAAGUUCUAAUUGGGACUCCC